Molecule: non-coding RNA, 29 nt
Filed under: Mus musculus (house mouse)
Lineage: Eukaryota; Metazoa; Chordata; Mammalia; Rodentia; Muridae
Source: RNAcentral
ACGAGGUGAAGCUGGAGUAUCACCAAGAU